RNAcentral lists this long non-coding RNA (574 nucleotides) under Homo sapiens (human). RNAcentral's name for it is "HSALNT0226704". Lineage: Eukaryota; Metazoa; Chordata; Mammalia; Primates; Hominidae. The record is from RNAcentral.
GGGUGAUGGGGGUGCGGGGUGAGCAUUACCCUCUACCCCUGUUCCCGCUACACAAGCACAGCAGCCCCCUCCUUGGUCUGGGGCUGCAACCUGCGCCCCUCCUGCUCUCAUUCUCUCCUCACUUGCUUUUCUGCUCUCACUGCCACCUGUCAGGGCAGGGACCAAACACCCAGUUCUUCCCCCUUCCAGGGACUGUGGGGGCCAGCAGGACAGUGUGAGAGGGAGGCCAGCUUGGCCUGGGCCUGAAGGAGUGAGGGGGAGUUCGGGAGGACCUGGUGACAGAAGCCUCAGGCAAUGAUUUUUAAAAAUUGAGGCAACUCACAAACCAUAAAAUUUUCAAGUGUUCAGUGUUGAAGGACACAAUUCAGUGAUUUGUAGCCUACAGUCAUGUGUCACUUAAUGACCGGGAUAUGUUCUGAGAUAUGCAUCAUGAGGCACUUUCAUCAUUGUGUCAACAUCAUGGAGUGUAGUUACACAAACCCAGAUGGCAGAGCCUGCUACACACCCAGACUGUGUGGUCUAGCCCAUUGCUCCUGGGCCACAAACCUGUGCAGCUUGUUACUGCACUAAAUAC